GGACAGAAACUGCUGGAGUUACAAUAGCUUCUGUCCACAUGUUUUUGAUCAAGUAGAUAAUCAGUAGUACUACUUAUAGUGCUGUUUGUGUACUUCUGUGGGUCCGUGUAUAUUUUGGCAAUUGGAUUUUCCGUUCUGAAACGGGUAUUGAAAAACAAAAAACGAGUGGUUAUUUGAUUUUCGUUUUAAAAUACAAAAAUUAAAAUUGAAAUACAUUCUUUGUGAUCCUUUUCAUGAUCACAAAAGGAUAUACGAAAUUUUAAAAAUGCUUUGAUUUUCAUUUUAUAUGUAGAAUAACCCAAAAAUAAAUUCAGUAAGAGACAGAAACGGAAAAAGGUCCGUUUUUUCAUUUUCUGAGACCGGAAGUGGUCAUCAGCAAGUGUAGAGCCAAACGACGACAAGAUUCUCAGAGGGCGGAGCCAGAGAGCAGUGAUUGGUCAGACCAUAGACUGUAUAUAAAGAUGGACGUAGCGUCUGGCUCCAGAAAUGAAGCCAACACGGAAGUGUCAAAAACUUGCAAUAUCACACCGUCCGCUAGGGCUGACUCCAGAAAGCUCCAUAGACCCCAAUUCAUCACGGGAAAAACUAAAAUUUGAUAGACUGCUUUUCUACAGCUCAUGAUUUUUUUUUCGUUGGUUUUCAUGGUCAAAAUGAGAGAUCAGGUGGCCGAUCCUAAAAUAAAUCAAUAUUGAUUUUUUUUUUAUAGAGCGUUAAAGUUUUGCGAAGCCAGGGGGCGGGACUACUUGACUGACAGGCUGGUCUGGAAUGAUUGACAGGUCCUAUGGAGGAGGCAGCAGAGACUCUGCUCUCCUCGUUUGGAUUAAUUCUGAUAUAAUAACUGUUGGUUUAUUUAUCGGUGGAGCAGCAGAACAUUUUCCACAGACAGUUUUCCUGCCCGUUGGCUUGUUUUAACCAGUUUUCUGCCUUCGGCUGAUUCUACCAGCAGACACAAAGGACUCUGAUAGUUCGGUAAGUAAAUGUUUGUUUUCGUAUCGGUGCCGCUUUUAAUGCACUUUAUAUGCAGCUGUAGUGUCAGAUAUAAUGUGUGCCAUGCACUCCAGAUGUUGGUGGAGUUUAUUUCUGUGUGUGUUGACCAGAGAAGAAAGUUAGCAUCCAGUAAAUAUUAGCUUUAAUGUUAGCGAUGCUAACCGAGCUAGCUGCUCAGUCCUAGCCUGAUUAAAGCUAACGUAGCAUUAAGCUAACGAUGUUUGUGUUAUUUCCUGUAAACAGCUGAAGUAUGUUGUGUUACUGUAAUGUGGUACAUUUAGUUAAUAAAACUGUUCAUGGAGACGCUGGUUCACAUUAAUGUAACGUUUAGAAAACCUAAAUGUGAUUAAAACAGUGAGGUUAAGGUUCUGUGUUGUCAGUAGUCCUGAAUAUCUGCUGAGUCUCUGAAGUUAAACUGGAGAAAACAGUAAAUCUGCUCUCUAGUUGUUAACAUUGUUUAAUGACUGAUUCACAUGUUUUAGUACUUAUUCCUGCAGUGUAGACUGGAAAAAUAAACUCCCAGAAUAUGUCCAAAGUAAUGAUAAACACUACACUUAUUACAUUUAAAUUACAGCACAGAUAAGCUGGAUAAUAAAAUCCUUUCCUCUAAAGCUAAAGUGACUACAGGCCUUUCUGUCUUUCAGUGCCUGGAAAACUAUAUGAAACAGGAAAUCUGUCCAGGGAUACUUUAAAAUGAACCUCUGCUGUUGAUGCUGAUACUGUGACGUCUGUCUUCAUCUCAGGUGUCUCAUGUUCACUGUGAGGAUCUUCUGAGUGAAGCCAACAGAAGGAAAACCUCAUCUGGAUGUGAAGAAGGAGACUGAAUGGACGACAUCCUCAGUGAACCACUUCCUGUUUAACUUUCACUUACAGAAGGACAGAGCAACUAUUUCAGCAGUUUAUUUUUCUCUGUUCUUAGUAUUCACAGGUUCCAUUUAUCACCUUUAACUUCAUCUCUGCUGUUGUAGCAGAAUGAUAAUACAGAGCACAUUUUCCUAUCAUUUAUAUCAGAUAUGUAGCAUUAAAACAUCAAGGACAAGAGCUUCAUUAUUUUCUUUAUUGCACAUUUAAAAACUACAUUGUUUAACAAUUGUGAACUAAGGAUGCGUAAACACAUGUAAUAAAUGGAUGAAAUACAUAAUGUGUUGCUGACAGUGAAGUGUAAAAACUGAACAGUCACAAGACAAGUUGUAUUAUGAAGAGAGGAGCUGAAUCUGCAGCAUUAUUGUUAUUACUGGAAGGAUGAGGAGGACAUCAGUGCUGCUCUUCCUCACAGUGAUGAAGGAGAAAAGACUCUUCAGACAACCACAGCUGGAUGUUCUCUGGAGCUCUCAGUCCAUCAGACGAGAUGCCCCCAAUGAUCCAGACCAAGACUGGAAGGAAAAGACACCAACAGUGAGGAAAAGAUCUACAGGGUUCUUUCAGUCCAACUGCAGGAACAUUAAAUAUCAGAGUGAACACAUCAGGAUAUGAAUGGAAUACAAUACAGUGUUGUAUUUUGUGCUAAUUUUUAAUCUUAUGGAAAUGUUUGUUUUCCUGGUUGAGGCUAAAGAACAUUUUAUUGCCUGUAUUUGUAGUAAAACAUGAGUUGAAACAUCCUACUUUUGGAUCUAGAACUGCACAAGUCGUUCAUUUUCAGUCACCUGAUGAGUUAAACUCCCCUUUUUAUGUGAGGUUGAAGCAGAAAGUCUGAGUUAACAAAGAAAGUUGUUUAUAAUCUGUGGUACCUGUUAUCUCUGACUGAGGCUUUAGUUUUUGUUGAGCUGAUUUACACGUAGAAACUUUGUUCAGGAAGAUUUGUCAGUAGCUCAGAGGACAGGCUGCUUUUUACACAACCUUGUAAGAGAAUGUCUGCCAGUGCUUUCAGCAGAAUUUAGAAACACAACACUUCCUAAACAGAUAUUUUGAGGCUGUGAGGUUGAACGUUUGAGAGUAUAUCAGUGAGUUUGUUUGUGGUCUUUCUGUUUCUAGGUGGAAGCUGAAUUAGUGAGGAUGACUCCUGCUCCUGUCAUCUCUAAGCUCCUCCCACAUCUUUACCUGCACAUGAGGAAAAUCACUCCUGUAGAAUGCAGAUGUUCAGAGGGAGAUGAUGCCACAUCUGGUCCAGCAGAUGGAAGGUCUUGAAGUUCUCUGACUGGCCUGGACUGAAGAUGGUCGUCUCACUGGAUUUAAGGUUCAGAUGCUCAGUAACAAACUCCACCAAUGAGCCAACAGGGAAGCUGUAGGUUUAUUAAAUGUUGCUAUGAAGGUUUCACUGUUUUUCUUUGUGGAUGCAAUGUGCUCCAACUGAAACUUGAAUUAGAACUUAGAAGUAAAUCCUUCCAUCUGAAAGGAUUUAGUUGCAUUAAUAACCUCAUAACAUUCUAAUUUUUAUUCCAGUCUUGGUUGGAAAUAGAAUCUCUGUAUUGAUUCAGGUAAAAACUGAACUUCACAGCAUGUUGGAGCAAAACAACCAGAUGAAAACUGUGAUGGUGUUGGAUUGUCAGACCGUAAUGUUGCAGCUCAAAGCAGCUUUUCUAUCUCAGUUCAUUCUGACAUUCAGCUAUGAAUCAACACAGCAGAUGGUGAUCCAUGCUGUGGAAAUCUCACAUCUCCUGAUUUAAUGGAGCUGCUUUGCACUUUUUACACUGUUUAUUCACCAACACUUUAUUUAAUGAAAGUCCCAUCUAGUUUUUAUGAGGAAUGUGAUGUUUUAAUUUCUCUGAAUAACUGCAGUCUAAUGGAAGAGCUGGAACUGUAACAUCUGUCCUGAUAUUGAUCAUGAAGUAUUGAUCAGAAUACUUAUGGUUAGCAGUCAUCCCUGAAGUUUUACAUUAAAAUCAUUACUUGUGUUGUGAACUUUGGUAAGAAGCAGAAACUUUAGCGUUGCCAUGGAUACAUGAGUGUUAAAUUCUGUCCAUGUUUCCAUUUUGGGAAAUUCAGUCCAUCAGAUGAGUUUGUUUUUACUGCCAGCUACCAUUCAGUCUGAGAUAUUAAGAAUAAAUAAAUGUGCAUAAUGUGGAAAUGAAGAGAUUUUAUUUUUAUUUAUUCCUACAGCUGCUGCAUGGAAAGUUCCAGAAUGUGGAGGAAUUUAGUCUCAUAAUCACAGACAAUAAAUAUUAUCUGAAAGUCAGGUUAUUGUUGUUUAUCAGCACAAUACAAAAAGAUUAAUGUUAGAAAUAUUGCAGUUAAGACUCUAGAAUAUCAUGAUUGAUGUAAAUUUACAUCAAUAAUAUGAAUGUUCAGGUUAAGAUUGUGCAGUGAUAUUUAUUCUGUAAGUUUAGCUGAUUAAAGUUUAUGACUCUGAUUAUUUAAAUUGACAUCAUUAUUCUAAUAUUUAGGGUCAGACCCUACAGUAUUGAGAUUAAGAAAUCAAAUAUUCUAUAAAAUGUAAAUACACUGAACUCAUUUGGAUAUAUUUAAGUGAGACUCUACAAUAUUAUGUGACACAAAUCUAUCUAAAUCCAAAUUUUAAUCAUUUUUCUCCAAACAUUUACUGGACUGAUUUAAACUUUAAAAUCACUCCUUUCUAAUCCUCUGCUGUACGUUCAAACCUGAGGCCUUAAAUAGAAACACACAAGUAUCUGAUUGAAGGAACUUCUGCAGAGUCCUGGUUCCAGAACAUGAUGAUAGAAUUAUAGACAAACUUUAACAAAAGCUGCCUGAGAGUUUACAGGUUUUUAUGUUGGAUUUCUUCAGUAAUUUAAUGAGAGUUAUCAGCAAAAAUCAAGUGUUCAUUUGAUGAACUUCAUUUCCUAAAACAUCCAGAAUUGGAGCUCGUAUCUUUGGCAGCUGUAAAGUUUCUGCUCCUUCAAAGUUCACAACACAAUGAAUGAAUUCCUAAAACACUCUCAAUGCUGGAGAGCGUUUGAUGCUGAAGCAGUGAGCAGUUUUUCUGUUUCUUCUCUGGAGAUGCACAAUGAGGGACGUCUGCAGCGACUGAGAAAGAGUCUCACCACAUCCUGACAUGAGGAAAAAGACUUUAUUGAAGACUACAAUGAGAAAAACUAUCAGACAGCAGACGGCUGCAUUCAAGUUUAGGCUGUUAGAUUGUUCCAGAUAAGACAAGUACAAGAUUCUUCAGAGCCGUUCCACCAUGAGCCUGACAGGAAGAACUCCAACAGCUACUGAAUGUUCCUGUGGUUCCCUCAAGGCUACAGGAGGAGUCCUACGAGGACGAGCCGGUCCACCUGAUGGUGGCCAGUCACUGCAGUUCAAAGCCAACACCGACUACGUGGACUUCUACUGGACCACACGGAGGCCUUCAAACCGGACCAACAAGUUCAGCGACUCCCCGACUCGUGGGUCUGAGGACGCCGCCGAGCCUCGGUCCAGCCAGCCUCCUGUCUGUGGGUGUUUGAGUGCUGAGAGGUUUGUGGAUGCAUGUGAACGUUCUGUGUUGAAACAGCAGCUUUGGACUCAGUAACGCCGGGAAAAACCAAGAGCUCCUUUAUUUGUGACUUCCACUAAAAAACUGAUGAAAAUAAGUUUGCCAGGGUUCUGACUGAUAACAGAUUAUUAAAUAAUGAAAAUAAUCGUUUAAAUAUUCCUUUAAACAAUCUUUUAGGGCUACAUUUCCUUUACACUGACUUCUUGGUAAAUGUACUAGUAUUUAGGGUGGAAUAUACCAUUAAGCCCGAUGUUCAAGGGUUCUUCUGGGAAUAUACUAUUAAACCAACCUUUUAGGUAAAUGUUCCAGGAUGUUGGGUAGAAUAUACCAUCAGAUAAACCUUUUAGGUCUACAUUGGAAGAUUUUACAGUAGAAUAUUACUCCAAUCCAUCCUUUAGGUCAACAUUUAAGGUGGAAUACUCCUUUACACCAAGAUUUUUUGGUCUACAUUGAAGGAUUUUUGGUGGAAUAUUUCUUUGGAUGAACUUUUUAAGUUUAUGUUCAAGGAUGUUGGUGGAAUAUAACAUCAGACCAACCUCCAAGGUCUACAGUAGUGAAUUUUAGGUGGAAUAUACCAUUAAACUCACCUUUUAGGUCUACAUUGGAGGAUUUUAGGUGGAAUUUUCUUCCAAACCAUCUUUUAGUCUACAUUUAAGGAUGUUUAGGAUGGUAUAUUCUUCCAAACCAACUUCUCAGGUCUACAUUUCAGGUGGAAUAUUCCUCCAUACUAACUUUUUUGGUCUACAUUGAAGGAUUUUUUCUAAACCACCCUUUGGGGUCUAUAUUUGAGGUUUUAGGUGGAAUAUUCCUUUUAACCAGCCCCUCGGGUCUCUUUGAGGAUUUUGGAUGGAAUACUCAGUUAAAGCAACAUUUUAGGUGCAUGUCCAAGGAUUUUUGGUGGAAUGUUACUUUAAGGUGGAUGUGUGAGGACCUUGUAGGUGGAAUACUUCCUGAAACCAACCUUUUAGGUCAACAUUCAAAGAUUUAAGGUGGAAUAUUCCUUUAAACCAACCUAAAUUUCAUGUUUUGAUCAUUAUCAAGUGAGAAACCUCAAUCCAGACUCCUCAUAAUGACGUUUGAGAUUUAUGCUGCUGUUAUUUGUUUAGUCCAGACUAAAUAACAGAAAUCCACAACUGUAAUUUUAUUGCAGGACUCGGUUAUUAAAUGUCAAAACAAUCCAUGUGACUCUAAAAACUCAACAGCUUUACAAACUCUAAGAUUAAACUCUCCACAAGGAUCCAAAAUAAGUUGGACUUCUACAUGAGAGCUUUAAUUAUUCUUCAUCUACUUUCUGAAAAGUUUGGUCAAUAAAAAAGACAAAAACUAAUAUUUUCAGCUGAACUAAAGUAAGACUUUGUGAUUUUUCUGCUCACAUCUUGUGUUGUUGUAAACUUCCUCUUUCAAAUAAAUAUCCUCCUAACCCCCUGGAAACCAGCGUUUGUCCUGUUUUUGUGUUGCUCGUCACCUACUUCAGACAGCCGGGACAAAACAACGUUUUGUGGACAAAAGGCUGUUCUAUGACGUUUUUAGAGCGACAUGCUAUGCUACGUCGAAAAAAAAUGUUAUUUAUCAACAUAUUGUAAAAACGUGCCAUAUGAUGAAAUAAAUAAUAAUAAUGUAAAGAAGGCCGUGAAAAACACUCCAGAAAGGUUUUCUUUGAAAAAAAAAUCAUCAUGAAUUUUGGCGCAAAAAAAACACCAUAGUAUACUAUGUCGAAAAAAAAUUUUUGAUUUUUCAACAUGUUGUGAAAACGUGCCAUAUGAUGAAAUAAUGUAAAGGAG
Long non-coding RNA from Amphiprion ocellaris (clown anemonefish), 7137 nucleotides. NCBI's taxonomy places the organism in Eukaryota, Metazoa, Chordata, Actinopteri, Pomacentridae. The record is from Ensembl.